This 122-nucleotide non-coding RNA is filed under the name Rhodoferax koreensis. RNAcentral's name for it is "Rhodoferax koreense Burkholderia RNA 11". It matches the Rfam family "Burkholderia RNA 11". From Rfam's summary of the family: Co-purified with Hfq, expression confirmed by Northern blot. Lineage: Bacteria; Pseudomonadati; Pseudomonadota; Betaproteobacteria; Burkholderiales; Comamonadaceae. The record is from Rfam by way of RNAcentral.
GCAACCUCCGGCUGGCGCACGGCAACCUGGUGGUGUUCCGUUCCCUGCUCGGCAUCAGCUGGAUGUGGUUCUUCGGCGCGGUGUUCCUGAGCCAGUUCCCGAGUUUCGCCAAGGAGGUGCUG